ACAAUACAUUGUGAUUGGCAAAUGCUGUUUCCUAAACAAUGUCAUAUCAACCAAUGAUGUAAGUCUAUUUUCAUUUUAGGGUACGAACAUCAAAAUUACCAAAUUCUUUUGCUUCUAGAAUGGCAAGUUUUUUAAUACCAAAAAGACUGAUUCAGGAAAUUGAAAUAUAAAACCUUUUUUCCCAUUUACAUAUAACAUGUCAAUUAGAUUUUCAUCAAAUUCAAAUGAAUUCCACAAAUGUGUUUUUUAUUAGUUUUUUUCUAGUAAUAUUUAAACAGAGCAUAUAUAGAAAAUUAUUACUGGUAUUUUCAAGCCUGAUAUGUAUUUAUGUAUAUACAAAAACAAAUUAUAUUAAAUUUCUCUUCAUGCUUAUAUUUUGUAUAGAGAUAGUUUAAGUUUUUUUUUUAUUGGAUUCCAUGUUUGUUCGGGUUAACCUAGAUUAUAAUAGUGUUGAAUUGAUGGAAAUAGAAGGAAACAAUACUGUGGUUCCAAUGACAAUAAAAGUCAUUUAUUUCUUGAAGUAAACAUGAAAGAUUUUUGUGAUCAGAUAGUCGAUAUAUAUAUUUUUCAUAGCAUGGUGAAUUACAGUAGUACAAAAAUAAGAUCUGUUGACAAACAGUCAUUUUGAAAUAUCACUUUAUUUUUGACAAUCAUUUCCAGGUUUUUCUGGUAGUCUUGAAAAGUUUGUUUUUUUGCUACAUAUACUAUAGAUGAUGGCAUUGUACAAGAAAAAAACUAAUGCAAGCAUAUAUAAUACAUGAGUAUUGCAAUACUGUUUUGAUUGGUAUAAUAUACUAUUUAAAAUCAUUCCCGGUGUCAACAAAUUGGUUAACUUUCUUGUAGCAACUGAAUUAUUUGUACCAAAAAUCACACGUUUAAAAUAUCUUUUCGUGAUAGGAUUCAAAGAAAAUUGAUAAAUUGGUACUAUGUGCCCUUAUUGAUUUUAUUUAAUGUGGAUUCUUGCAUUAUCUAAGAUUGAGGAAAACUUGCAUUUUCGUGGAUAUUUUAUUGUCAUGGUUUUGCCCUGGUCAUCAUACAAGCCUAUAGAAAUGUUAAACAUCUAAGUACGUCGUUAACACAUACCUACAAAAUCCACAAAAAUAGGUAUUCCAAGAAUAAUAAUGAAUCCACAGUAUCAUGUUUGUUUUUAAAAAAAAAAUAUUUGUACAGCAGUUUUGAGAAAAAUCUGUAUGUGCUAGUAUUUCAACACAUAUUGAUAAAUAAUAAUGUUCAUACUUUCAUAUCAGCUGUGAAUAACAUUAUAGUUUCUGCAAGUAUUUGAAUCUAUACCAGUGAAUUUGUUAACGAAUUUAAAAAAUUUAUAAAUCAUUGUUUGUACAUAAAACAUUAUAUAUUUAUUGAAUAUUUACAUCGUUAUUGUUUUAUUUGUUUUUUUUGUAAUGCUAUUGUAUGAAUAUAUAUUUGUUAUAUAAAGUGUUGUGAUAUAAUUGAAAUGAGAAUUUCAAUUUAUAGCUAUAUAGCUAUAUAUAGUGCCCUCUCUUACCCGGUGUAUAUAAGAAGAUUGACCAAUAGAUAUAUUUGACAUAAAAUAGCAGUGUUCUGCUUUACAAUUGAUUGGGUGUUAAAAUAUUUUCUUAUUUGUAUCAAUAACAAUCUGUGCAUCUUACAAGUGCAUUCUAUAAUAGUUACAUUGCAUGUAUGUUUCAUUAUGUUAUAUUAUUUUGAUUGGCUAACAGCAAUAUCACGUCCUUCUGAAAUUGCCAUUCAUUACACAAUGAAGUUUAACAUCCGUGAUGACACAAUGUCCCCCAAUUAAGUGCACAGGUAAAAUUAAAUAAAAACUUGAUAGAAAAAGUAAUUAUAAGUAUUGAAUGCUUCUUUUUGAAAUUUCAUAGGGUUUUUAAAUCUUUGAAUGUGCGCACAUUUUUAGAAUGAUCUUCGGUCAAAAAGAAGCAUUCAAUUCUUAGAUGAAAUUAUUUUGAAUUUAACACUAAUAUGGCAACACUAGGCUAGCUUACGACAGCCUAAUGUCUGUCUGUGAGUCCUUCCUGUUGAACAUUAACCUUAUAAGAAUGCACUUUAUAUAUAAUGUACAUGUGUAAAAUGUUGUGUGUUCUCAGCCACUGCAGAUCAUAAUUCUAAAGAGAACAAAAUUUCAUGAAAAUUAUUUUAUAAAAUAUGCUCAGAUUUGUCUUUUUUUCUUUUUUAUCGAUUUAUAAAGCUAUUUCUUUUUUUCAUUUUGGUGCAAAUCAUAAGUAUUACUUUUAAUCAUUUAAGGAAGCAAGGGUAUUAGAUAUUAACGGUUCUUAUGGGGGAUUCUUUUAGUUAUACAUGUAUCAUAUUUUAAAACUUUAUGGCUUUCUUGACUUUGAUAAAUACUGUUCUAGCAAUUUAAUUCUUUAAAUACACAAGAGUAAUAGACACAGGAAAUAUCUUUUUACUUAUAAGACUUGAAAGUCUUAUGCUUCUUCUUUUCUUUGUAUGUGCUUCAUCUUAAUUGUAAAACCUCUAUUUUGAGGGUAAUAGGGUUAAUAUGCUUAUGCUUUGGUCAGAUAUAUGUUACCUAAUUGCUCAUCUUGUUGUGUAUUGUAAAGGUAGUUAUUGUCCAUGAGAGCUUUGUAUUAUAAAAAGUCUCACAAACUUUGAAAUAGUCUCUAAUUUGACAUCCCUCAUCUGAGACUGCAUCAGAUAUUCAGACAUCUGCUAGAAGGCAAGUAGAUGAUGCCACCCUGAAGCCAGCUAUAGCCAAAGGUCAACACAUUGUUCUGUUAUUAGGCAGCUUAAAUCAUGUUUUUGUCAUGACAUUUGACAUUUUAUGUGUGAGCUUCAAAGUACAAUUUGUGAGAUAAAUUUGUAUCAUUUUAUCAUAAUGCAUUAGACAUGGAUGAAAGGUUUUAUUGAAAAGACUUAUGCUAUACAUGUUUAUUCCAUUUGGACCAUUUCAACACUUAAUGUCUUGAUUGAUUGAAAUGUAUGGAACAAAAAUUAUUGAUUACAAGUAAAUUAUCUAAAGCCACUGAAUUCAGAGGAAAAGAUAUGACAUUCUUUAACAUGACUUUAUGUUUUUACACACAGACUGUUUAUACAAUAUUAGAAUAAAAUUAUAUUUUUUAUUCAUGAAAAUUAUUUUUCACUAUUGUUGAAAUAUUACAUUGCUUCUGACAGAAUUUAUCAUAUUUUAUAAGGGAAGGCCUACUGGUUGACAAAGAGGGGACCAGCUCCAGUCAUGCUUCAGUGAUUCCAUAAAUCAACAUUUUUUUCCCACAAUAGGGGGAGGUGGAGGGCUCUCCUCCCCCUAACUCUGCUUUUAAAAUUCAUCUUUCUGCCACCAUUUUAAAAGAUUGCAAUAUAUGUACUAAAUGUAGAUCAGACAAUGAUUUAAUUUUUUUUCUGUAAUCUCAAUUUUUUUCUGUUAUAUAUGAUUAUCUCCAGAUUUUAUAAUGUGUUAAGAUGGAUUAUCCUUUAGUCCAUGAUUCUAUCCAAUCAGGGUUUUCAUCUUCCCUUUUGAAAGGUAAAUUUACACCAUUUAAUCAUGUAGUAACUUUAGACAUUAUUGUUUGUACGACACAUGACAACAACGAAAGAAGAUACUAGUGGUUGAGGCCUUCAUUUAAUUGUUAUGUGAUAUUGUAACUCAAUUUGUUUGUUAAUGUAUUUGUGAUUUGAAAUGAAAUAAAUGUUAUUUAAUGUU
This is a long non-coding RNA of Mytilus trossulus (common blue mussel), 3652 nucleotides long. RefSeq lists it as uncharacterized. NCBI's taxonomy places the organism in Eukaryota, Metazoa, Mollusca, Bivalvia, Mytilida, Mytilidae. The record is from RefSeq and is a predicted model, not a curated record. The transcript has 2 exons.